UACAGAGGUCCCGAGCGUUGUUCGGAUUUAUUGGGCGUAAAGGGUGCGUAGGCGGCGCGGUAGGUCGGGUGUGAAAUCUCGGAGCUUAACUCCGAAACUGCAUUCGAUACUGCCGUGCUUGAGGACUGGAGAGGAGACUGGAAUUUACGGUGUAGCGGUGAAAUGCGUAGAUAUCGUAAGGAAGACCAGUGGCGAAGGCGGGUCUCUGGACAGUUCCUGACGCUGAGGCACGAAGGUCAGGGGAGCAAACGGG
Molecule: ribosomal RNA, 253 nt
Filed under: uncultured bacterium
Lineage: Bacteria
Description: partial 16S ribosomal RNA
Rfam family: Bacterial small subunit ribosomal RNA
Source: RNAcentral